This 68-nucleotide ribosomal RNA is filed under the name Anaerosporomusa subterranea. RNAcentral's name for it is "partial 23S ribosomal RNA". Lineage: Bacteria; Bacillati; Bacillota; Negativicutes; Acetonemataceae. The record is from RNAcentral.
UAGGCCAGGUGUGGAAGUCCUGCAAGGGAUGAAGCUGACUGGUACUAAUCGGUCGAGGACUUGACCUG